This 375-nucleotide ribosomal RNA is filed under the name Triticum aestivum (bread wheat). RNAcentral's name for it is "partial small subunit ribosomal RNA". Lineage: Eukaryota; Viridiplantae; Streptophyta; Magnoliopsida; Poales; Poaceae. The record is from RNAcentral.
AUGAUUGGCCUAAAUGAGGAACCAUAUGAAAAUAUUUUUGAUGGUAUGGAUAUUGGUGAUCCAGUGUACUCUACACAACAUGGUGCUCAAAAUCAUGAGUUUGUGGCUGAAUCGCCUAAUGCUCCUAUAAUGCAAAAUGCCAUUGUUGCUACGGUGAAAAUAGUGGAGACAGAUGAGCAAGCACCUGCAGCACAAGAAACUGAGACUGAUGGUCAUACCCUUGAUGGCACGGGUGCCACGGGUGAUACAAGUGUGACUGUUGGUAAUGGUUUGACAGCCUUCGGUGCUGAAAAUGAUGAUGAAGCUUGGUCACAACCCAAGGAGCCUUAUGUGGGCAUGAGAUUUGACAGUUUGGAAGGCGCCAAAGAGCACUAA